Molecule: long non-coding RNA, 276 nt
Filed under: Oryza sativa aus subgroup
Lineage: Eukaryota; Viridiplantae; Streptophyta; Magnoliopsida; Poales; Poaceae
Description: lncRNA OsN22_10G009100
Source: RNAcentral
GCGGCGGACGCGGACGGGACGACAGUGCCGUGGGAGAAGGAGCAGGGGUCUCUGGUCUCCGCGGCGGGCGGCGGGAGGUGGUCGGAGAAGCCGGAGCUGAGCAAGGCGGCGCAGUUGUUGGGAGGCAGCGGCGCAGUACUCGGGAGGCAGCGGCGCCAUGUCAGCGUUGGCGUCGUCCACGGCAGGGUAAUGCAACCACGGCACGGCGUCGUCGUGGCCGGCGCCCCGCCGCAUGAGAUUCUUGAUGAAGAGGUCGCCUUGGUACUGGAGCAGUAG